This 301-nucleotide ribosomal RNA is filed under the name uncultured bacterium. RNAcentral describes it as "partial 16S ribosomal RNA". It matches the Rfam family "Bacterial small subunit ribosomal RNA", at positions 509 to 807 of the family's 1533-position model. The record is from RNAcentral.
CAGCAGCCACGGUAAUACGUAGGGUGCGAGCGUUAAUCGGAAUUACUGGGCGUAAAGCGUGCGCAGGCGGUUAUAUAAGACAGUUGUGAAAUCCCCGGGCUCAACCUGGGAACUGCAUCUGUGACUGUAUAGCUAGAGUACGGUAGAGGGGGAUGGAAUUCCGCGUGUAGCAGUGAAAUGCGUAGAUAUGCGGAGGAACACCGAUGGCGAAGGCAAUCCCCUGGACCUGUACUGACGCUCAUGCACGAAAGCGUGGGGAGCAAACAGGAUUAGAUACCCCCGUAGUCCCUGUCUCUUAUAC